GGCUCAAUGGUCAAGUGGCUAAGACACAACUUUUUCACUGUUGUAACCUGGGUUCAAUUCCCAGUUGAGCUA
RNAcentral lists this transfer RNA (72 nucleotides) under Arthonia kermesina. RNAcentral's name for it is "tRNA-Glu". It matches the Rfam family "tRNA". Rfam says of the family: Transfer RNA (tRNA) molecules are approximately 80 nucleotides in length. The record is from RNAcentral. Lineage: Eukaryota; Fungi; Ascomycota; Arthoniomycetes; Arthoniales; Arthoniaceae.